CAGGCCUAACACAUGCAAGUCGAACGAGGUUUGGUCAGUUUGCGGUGGUGCUUGCAUCACCAAUUACCGAUCAAACCGAGUGGCGGACGGGUGAGUAACACGUGGGUAACCUGCCCUUCAGCAGGGGAUAACAUUUGGAAACAGAUGCUAAUACCGUAUAACCACGGAGACCGCAUGGUCUCCGGGUAAAAGAUGGCGCAAGCUAUCACUGAAGGAUGGACCCGCGGCGUAUUAGCCAGUUGGUGGGGUAACGACCUACCAAAGCGAUGAUACGUAGCCGACCUGAGGGGGUAAUCGGCCACAUUGGGACUGAGACACGGCCCAAACUCCUACGGGAGGCAGCAGUAGGGAAUCUUCCACAAUGGACGCAAGUCUGAUGGAGCAACGCCGCGUGAGUGAAGAAGGCUUUCGGGUCGUAAAACUCUGUUAUUGAAGAAGAACGUGUGUGACAGUAACUGGUCAUGCAGUGACGGUAUUCAAUCAGAAAGUCACGGCUAACUACGUGCCAGCAGCCGCGGUAAU
RNAcentral lists this ribosomal RNA (522 nucleotides) under uncultured bacterium. RNAcentral describes it as "bacterial SSU rRNA". It matches the Rfam family "Bacterial small subunit ribosomal RNA", at positions 43 to 524 of the family's 1533-position model. The record is from RNAcentral.